ACGGGAGGCAGCAGUGGGGAAUAUUGCACAAUGGGGGAAACCCUGAUGCAGCGACGCCGCGUGAGUGAUGAAGUAUUUCGGUAUGUAAAGCUCUAUCAGCAGGGAAGAAAAUGACGGUACCUGACUAAGAAGCACCGGCUAAAUACGUGCCAGCAGCCGCGGUAAUACGUAUGGUGCAAGCGUUAUCCGGAUUUACUGGGUGUAAAGGGAGCGUAGGCGGCGUGGCAAGUCAGAAGUGAAAACCCAGGGCUCAACCUUGGGACUGCUUUUGAAACUGUCAUGCUAGAGUGUCGGAGAGGUAAGCGGAAUUCCUAGUGUAGCGGUGAAAUGCGUAGAUAUUAGGAGGAACACCAGUGGCGAAGGCGGCUUACUGGACGAUAACUGACGCUGAGGCUCGAAAGCGUGGGGAGCAAACAGGAUUAGAUACCCUGGUA
RNAcentral lists this ribosomal RNA (434 nucleotides) under uncultured Lachnospiraceae bacterium. Its description in RNAcentral is "bacterial SSU rRNA". It matches the Rfam family "Bacterial small subunit ribosomal RNA", at positions 341 to 792 of the family's 1533-position model. Lineage: Bacteria; Bacillati; Bacillota; Clostridia; Lachnospirales; Lachnospiraceae. The record is from RNAcentral.